UAAGACAGGUGGUGCAUGGCUGUCGUCAGCUCGUGUCGUGAGAUGUUGGGUUAAGUCCCGCAACGAGCGCAACCCUUGNUUAUUAGUUGCCAGCAUUAAGUUGGGCACUCUAAUGAGACUGCCGGUGACAAACCGGAGGAAGGUGGGGAUGACGUCAAGUCAUCAUGCCCCUUAUGACCUGGGCUACACACGUGCUACAAUGGGCAGUACAACGAGAAGCGAGCCUGCGAAGGCAAGCGAAUCUCUGAAAGCUGUUCUCAGUUCGGACNUGCAGUCUGCAACUCGACUGCAC
Molecule: ribosomal RNA, 292 nt
Filed under: uncultured bacterium
Lineage: Bacteria
Description: partial 16S ribosomal RNA
Rfam family: Bacterial small subunit ribosomal RNA
Source: RNAcentral